This 440-nucleotide ribosomal RNA is filed under the name uncultured bacterium. Its description in RNAcentral is "partial 16S ribosomal RNA". It matches the Rfam family "Bacterial small subunit ribosomal RNA", at positions 338 to 795 of the family's 1533-position model. The record is from RNAcentral.
CCUACGGGAGGCAGCAGUGGGGAAUAUUGCACAAUGGGGGAAACCCUGAUGCAGCGACGCCGCGUGAGUGAAGAAGUAAUUCGGUAUGUAAAGCUCUAUCAGCAGGGAAGAAAAUGACGGUACCUGAGUAAGAAGCCCCGGCUAACUACGUGACAGCAGCCGCGGUAAUACGUAGGUGGCAAGCGUUAUCCGGAGUUACUGGGUGUAAAGGGAGCGUAGACGGCAGGGCAAGUCUGGAGUGAAAGGCGGGGGCUCAACCCCCGGACUGCUGUGGAAACUGUACGGCUGGAGUGCAGGAGAGGUAAGCGGAAUUCCUAGUGUAGCGGUGAAAUGCGUAGAUAUUAGGAGGAACACCAGUGGCGAAGGCGGCUUACUGGACUGUAACUGACGUUGAGGCUCGAAAGCGUGGGGAGCAAACAGGAUUAGAUACCCGUGUAGUC